AACGAACGCUGGCGGCGUGGAUUAGGCAUGCAAGUCGAACGAGAAAGGCCCCUUCGGGGGCUAAGUAGAGUGGCGAACUGGUGAGUACAAAGUGGGCAACGUGCCCGGUUGUGGGGGAUAACAUCGAGAAAUCGGUGCUAAUACCGCAUGUCAUCUUUCCCUUAUGGGGAAGAAAAAAGGUGCUCGGACUUCGGUUCGAGUGUCGCGACCGGAUCGACUCACUCCCCAUUAGCUUGUUGGUAGGGUAAUGGCCUACCAAGGCAACGAUGGGUAGCUGGCCUGAGAGGGUGGUCAGCCACACUGGGACUGAGAUACGGCCCAGACUCCUACGGGGGGCAGCAGUCUAGAGGCAUCCACAAUAGGGGAAACCCUGAUGGUGCGACGCCGCGUGUGGGAUGAAGGCCCUUGGGUUGUAAACCACUGUCAGGAGAGAAUAAGGUUCUAUAGCUGUCGCUAUAGGAAUUGAAGGUAUCUCCAGAGGAAGCACCGGCUAACUCCGUG
Molecule: ribosomal RNA, 501 nt
Filed under: uncultured bacterium
Lineage: Bacteria
Description: bacterial SSU rRNA
Rfam family: Bacterial small subunit ribosomal RNA
Source: RNAcentral